This 202-nucleotide unclassified non-coding RNA is filed under the name soil metagenome. RNAcentral's name for it is "partial contains 5.8S ribosomal RNA, internal transcribed spacer 2, and large subunit ribosomal RNA". The record is from RNAcentral.
AACCUUAUGGACCUGCGGGCGUAUACCUGCGGAAGGAUCAUUAUCAAAACAGCGGCCUUCGGGCCUUGCUGCACCCUUGUCUUUUGCGCACCGUAUUGAUUCCUCGGCGGGCUUGCCUGCCGGUUGGACAUUAUCAAACCUUUUUGUAGUUGCAAUCAGCGUCAGAAAAACAAUAAUUAUUACAACUUUCAACAACGGAUCU